UAUCAUCAUCACAUAUCAGUUAUCAUCAAACAAGUCUUGAUUCCCAACCUUUUAUAUUUUGGUGUUGACAAAAAGUUCCUCAGUUGCAAACUCUUUUUGGUUUCACACCAUUUUGACUUCAUUAUAUAAAGAUCAUUUGUGUAGCUAUUAUCACAACCAUAUUGUUAGACACCUCUAAUUUCAUCUACUGUUUUUUAGAGAUUUCUUCUUAUUUGGCUUGAUUUUCUUCUGCAACCUUAUCUACUGCAAAGCUCUGAUUGCUGCAUCUAACUUCCCUGCCAAAGUUUUCCCUGUUUGAAACUCUGAACUUCUCUGUUUAUCUGAGCUCUGUUUUUAACUGAUCUUUGAUCAAGGAUGGCCAUAAACGCAAUUGAGUUGUUGAAAGGAAGCACAAGCCAAGAAGAAAUAGUGGAAGUUCUUGCAGCAGUGGCUGCAGAUUUGGGGGAUGUAAUAGAUGAUCUAAACUCUUUGCAGGUAAAACCUCUUAAGGGGGCAAUGACCAAUGAGGUUUUUGAGGUAAAUUGGCCAACAAAAAGUGAUGGUCAUCAGAGAAGGGUUCUUGUUCGAUUAUAUGGUGAAGGUGUUGAGGUUUUCUUCAACAGGGUGGACGAAAUCCAAACCUUUGAGUGCAUGUCUAAGCAUGGACAGGGUCCACGCCUUCUUGGAAGGUUCACCACUGGCAGAGUUGAGGAGUUCAUUCAUGCCAGAACUCUCUCAGCUGCGGACCUCCGUGACCCUGAAAUAUCUGCAUUGAUUGCAUCUAAGAUGAGGGAGUUUCACAAUCUUCACAUGCCUGGUGCAAAGAAGGCUCAGCUUUGGCAAAGAAUGAGGAAGUGGCUUAGUCAUGCCAAAAAUUUGUGCUCCCCAAAAGAUGCCAAGAAUUUUUGCCUGGACAAUCUAGAUGCUGAAAUAAAUACGCUUGCAGAGUCGUUAUCUGAAGGUUAUCAAGAGAUUGGUUUCUGUCACAAUGACCUACAAUAUGGUAACAUAAUGAUAGAUGAAGAUACAAGAGCAAUCACUUUAAUUGACUAUGAAUAUUCCGGUUACAAUCCUAUUGCAUAUGAUCUGGCAAAUCAUUUCUGUGAAAUGGUGGCAAAUUACCAUACUGAUGAACCACAUGUUCUUGACUACAGCAAAUAUCCUGGUCUGGAAGAGCGACAAAGGUUUGUUUAUAAUUAUUUGAGUUCUGAAGAUGUGGAGCUUGCAUUGCAUGCAUUUGUUUAACAUAUUCGUAGGCACGAUGCAAACCUCCCCUUAUCUCUUCAACUUCUAUGUUAAUGUAAUUCUAACAGUUGUUUUACUGACCAAAGAUAACUCUCAUGAAAGCUUUCAAAAUCAAGUUACAAAAGCUCAAGUCAUAUUUUCAAAGAUGAUUCUUCUGAAUUUGAUACAUGUUUACUAAUUUUAAUUGGGAUGUGCACAGGUAAGAAACCAAGCAACACAGAAGUGGAAGAAUUAGUCAAUCUUGCAGAUAAAUACACUCUCGCAAACCAUCUAUUUUGGGGCUUGUGGGGACUUAUUUCGAGUUAUGUCAAUUCAAUUGACUUUGACUACAAGGAGUAUGCAAGGCAGAGGUUUCAGCAAUACUGGCUUAAGAAGCCUACUUUAUUGGACUCACCAAGUAUCAUUUCCCAAGAUGCAAUUGUCAAUGGUUCACACCAUUGACUUGAUUGCUUCUUAUGUAUUUAGUAUACGUACACUUUGAUAUGUAUUGAUUAAUAAUGUAGAAAUGCAUGAUAUGAUGCAUAAAAUCUGUAAAUAACUAAAUACGUGUGAUGGAUUUUGUCAAUUUUUACUAUAAUUAUGUUGGUAAUCGCUCCUCCUUGUUGGAUUUAGUUGAGGAAUGAAGGUGUGAAUUACUAGUUGUGUCUUGUCA
Molecule: non-coding RNA, 1876 nt
Organism: Cajanus cajan (pigeon pea)
Lineage: Eukaryota; Viridiplantae; Streptophyta; Magnoliopsida; Fabales; Fabaceae
Source: RefSeq, a predicted model, not a curated record